Molecule: long non-coding RNA, 595 nt
Organism: Apis dorsata (giant honeybee)
Lineage: Eukaryota; Metazoa; Arthropoda; Insecta; Hymenoptera; Apidae
Exons: 2
Source: RefSeq, a predicted model, not a curated record
AAAAUCUAGCGGAUUUUCAGUGAAUGUGUAUAUUAGAGAGAACUUCAAUCAAAAGGAUACACGUUUGUAUACGUAGCUGUAAAGGUUCAUCGAACUUCGCUGUGCAUACGAAUUCUCGGCCAAUAAUAAAGAUGUAUGUAUAGGUGUGGCGGUGAUUGGCUUGUUUCCUCGGCCUACACUUUGUCAACGGGAGCAACAACUUCGACGGUACCGAAGAGAACACCAGACAACCCACACACAUAACACCCGCGUAAACGAUUCAACGGGUCGCGUGGUAACCUUUAUUAUCUCCUAUCUUUCUUCUUGAACGCCCUCUAAACAGACUACAACUAUCUCGUGUAACCAUACAUACACAUAACAUUUCUAAAUUAUCUACAUAAAUUAAAUCUACAUUUAAUCUAAUUUUAAAAAUUACGUUAAUUUUCAUAAAAAUUCUCACAUUUUUUUAUACAUAUAAAGUUCUAAAAUAUGAUAUAACCUCAUUAUAAUCGCACCUGCACAUAGAUAUCCAAUUUUAUGGUUCGAUAGUUAUAGUAGCAAUAUCAACUAUAAAUAAAUGUCCACUGUGACGAGGGAACGAACCGACCGAAAAAAA